RNAcentral lists this ribosomal RNA (492 nucleotides) under uncultured bacterium. RNAcentral describes it as "partial 16S ribosomal RNA". It matches the Rfam family "Bacterial small subunit ribosomal RNA", at positions 29 to 507 of the family's 1533-position model. The record is from RNAcentral.
AGUGAACGCUGGCGGUAGGCCUAACACAUGCAAGUCGAACGGCAGCACAGUAAGAGCUUGCUCUUACGGGUGGCGAGUGGCGGACGGGUGAGGAAUACAUCGGAAUCUACUUUUUCGUGGGGGAUAACGUAGGGACACUUCCGCUAAUACCGCAUACGACCUACGGGUGAAAGCAGGGGAUCUUCGGACCUUUCGCGUUUGUAUUAGCCGAUGUCGGAUUAGCUAGUUGGCGGGGUAACGGCCCACCAAGGCGACGAUCCGUAGCUGGUCUGAGAGGAUGAUCAGCCACACUGGAACUGAGACACGGUCCAGACUCCUACGGGAGGCAGCAGUAGGGAAUAUUGGGCAAUGGGCGCAAGCCUGAUCCAGCCAUACCGCGUGGGUGAAGAAGGUCUUCGGGUUGUAAAGCCCUGUUGUUGGGAAAGAAAAGCAGCAGGUUAAUACCCCGCUGUUCUGACGGUACCCAAAGAAUAAGCACCGGCUAACUUCGUG